UUUCCCAGUUGACUGCCACGUUGUCUCCCAGUAGAUUAUGGUGGCUAUGCUUAUGGGACAGAUGAAAGGUGCCAUGAUCUGAAGGGGGAGGACUUCUCAGUGUCGUCCCCCUAUAUGAAAUGGCUGAACAGAAAACC
Small nucleolar RNA from Phodopus roborovskii (desert hamster), 137 nucleotides. RefSeq annotates it as small nucleolar RNA SNORA29. NCBI's taxonomy places the organism in Eukaryota, Metazoa, Chordata, Mammalia, Rodentia, Cricetidae. The transcript has a single exon. The record is from RefSeq and is a predicted model, not a curated record.